RNAcentral lists this ribosomal RNA (1492 nucleotides) under uncultured organism. RNAcentral's name for it is "SSU rRNA". It matches the Rfam family "Bacterial small subunit ribosomal RNA". The record is from RNAcentral.
GAUGAACGCUGGCGGCGUGCCUAAUACAUGCAAGUCGAACGAGUUCUGAUUAUUGAAAGGUGCUUGCAUCUUGAUUUAAUUUUGAACGAGUGGCGGACGGGUGAGUAACACGUGGGUAACCUGCCCUUAAGUGGGGGAUAACAUUUGGAAACAGAUGCUAAUACCGCAUAAAUCCAAGAACCGCAUGGUUCUUGGCUGAAAGAUGGCGUAAGCUAUCGCUUUUGGAUGGACCCGCGGCGUAUUAGCUAGUUGGUGAGGUAACGGCUCACCAAGGCGAUGAUACGUAGCCGAACUGAGAGGUUGAUCGGCCACAUUGGGACUGAGACACGGCCCAAACUCCUACGGGAGGCAGCAGUAGGGAAUCUUCCACAAUGGACGCAAGUCUGAUGGAGCAACGCCGCGUGAGUGAAGAAGGCUUUCGGGUCGUAAAACUCUGUUGUUGGAGAAGAAUGGUCGGCAGAGUAACUGUUGUCGGCGUGACGGUAUCCAACCAGAAAGCCACGGCUAACUACGUGCCAGCAGCCGCGGUAAUACGUAGGUGGCAAGCGUUAUCCGGAUUUAUUGGGCGUAAAGCGAGCGCAGGCGGUUUUUUAAGUCUGAUGUGAAAGCCCUCGGCUUAACCGAGGAAGUGCAUCGGAAACUGGGAAACUUGAGUGCAGAAGAGGACAGUGGAACUCCAUGUGUAGCGGUGAAAUGCGUAGAUAUAUGGAAGAACACCAGUGGCGAAGGCGGCUGUCUGGUCUGUAACUGACGCUGAGGCUCGAAAGCAUGGGUAGCGAACAGGAUUAGAUACCCUGGUAGUCCAUGCCGUAAACGAUGAAUGCUAGGUGUUGGAGGGUUUCCGCCCUUCAGUGCCGCAGCUAACGCAUUAAGCAUUCCGCCUGGGGAGUACGACCGCAAGGUUGAAACUCAAAGGAAUUGACGGGGGCCCGCACAAGCGGUGGAGCAUGUGGUUUAAUUCGAAGCAACGCGAAGAACCUUACCAGGUCUUGACAUCUUUUGAUCACCUGAGAGAUCAGGUUUCCCCUUCGGGGGCAAAAUGACAGGUGGUGCAUGGUUGUCGUCAGCUCGUGUCGUGAGAUGUUGGGUUAAGUCCCGCAACGAGCGCAACCCUUAUGACUAGUUGCCAGCAUUUAGUUGGGCACUCUAGUAAGACUGCCGGUGACAAACCGGAGGAAGGUGGGGAUGACGUCAAAUCAUCAUGCCCCUUAUGACCUGGGCUACACACGUGCUACAAUGGAUGGUACAACGAGUUGCGAGACCGCGAGGUCAAGCUAAUCUCUUAAAGCCAUUCUCAGUUCGGACUGUAGGCUGCAACUCGCCUACACGAAGUCGGAAUCGCUAGUAAUCGCGGAUCAGCACGCCGCGGUGAAUACGUUCCCGGGCCUUGUACACACCGCCCGUCACACCAUGAGAGUUUGUAACACCCGAAGCCGGUGGCGUAACCCUUUUAGGGAGCGAGCCGUCUAAGGUGGGACAAAUGAUUAGGGUG